CGCGAAGAACCUUACCUGGUCUUGACAUCCAUAGAAUUUCUUAGAAAUAAGAAAGUGCCUUUUAGGAACUAUGAGACAGGUGCUGCAUGGCUGUCGUCAGCUCGUGUUGUGAAAUGUUGGGUUAAGUCCCGCAACGAGCGCAACCCUUUUCCUUUUUUGCCAGCGGUUCGGCCGGGAACUACAAGGAUACUGCCGGUUAUAAACCGGAGGAAGGUGGGGACGACGUCAAGUCAUCAUGGCCCUUACGACCAGGGCUACACACGUGCUACAAUGGUACAUACAAAGAGAAGCAAAUUCGCGAGGAUAAGCAAAUCUCAUAAAGUGUAUCUUAGUUCGGACUGGAGUCUGCAACUCGACUCCACGAAGUCGGAAUCGCUAGUAAUCGUGAAUCAGAAUGUCA
RNAcentral lists this ribosomal RNA (400 nucleotides) under Buchnera aphidicola (Tuberculatus quercicola). RNAcentral describes it as "bacterial SSU rRNA". It matches the Rfam family "Bacterial small subunit ribosomal RNA", at positions 960 to 1359 of the family's 1533-position model. The record is from RNAcentral. Lineage: Bacteria; Pseudomonadati; Pseudomonadota; Gammaproteobacteria; Enterobacterales; Erwiniaceae. RNAcentral also lists the same sequence under 5 other names.